GAUGAACGCUGGCGGCGUGCUUAACACAUGCAAGUCGAACGGAAAGCCGCCUUUGGGGGUACUCGAGUGGCGAGCGGGGGAGUAAAACGUUAGUAACCUUCCCUUGACGUCGGGAUAACCUCACGAAAAUGGGGGUAAUACCCGAGAGAAAUCCGUGCGGCACAGUGGGGGUUGGAAAGCUUCGGCGGUUUUGGAUGGACUCGCGGCUUAUCAGCUUGUUGGUGGGGUAGUGGCUUACCAAGGCUUUGACGGGUAGCCGGCCUCAGAGGGCGAUCGGCCGCCUUGGGACUGCGAUGAGGCGCAGCUUCCUACGAGGGGAGGCAGCGGGGAAGAUUGCACGAUGGGGGGAGGAACGAUGCAGCAGCGCUGCGGGGGGGAUGACGGAGGUUGGGUUGUAAAACGGUUUUAGCAGGAGGGAAGAUUGUGGUGACGGUACCUGCAGAAGAAGCAACGGCUAACUACGUG
RNAcentral lists this ribosomal RNA (465 nucleotides) under uncultured bacterium. RNAcentral's name for it is "partial 16S ribosomal RNA". It matches the Rfam family "Bacterial small subunit ribosomal RNA", at positions 28 to 507 of the family's 1533-position model. The record is from RNAcentral.